Long non-coding RNA from Homo sapiens (human), 380 nucleotides. Lineage: Eukaryota; Metazoa; Chordata; Mammalia; Primates; Hominidae. The record is from Ensembl.
AAGGUAAAAUUUCCCACUGCGAGGCAGGCAGUGAUGCUGCGGCCGCUUCGCACUGUGGCUCCUGCCGACCGCCAGGCGCUGUUACAGUGGAUGCGAACUAACCAUGCAGCAGCAGCCGGAACCCACAGUUCACCUUGGUGCAUUCCUUUAUGAUGAAGACUUAUUGAUUCAUUAUAUGAGAAAGGAAAAAUGAGCAGAAACUACUGUAUGAUGUGCAGCUCACACCAGACAGCAACUUUAGGUAGGCACUUAGGGUUAUCUUUCCAGUUCAGCAGUGCAACUCUAUGGAGUAGAAUUGAAAGGAGACUUUUCGCCAAUUGCAGGAAAUGGUCAUAAAAAAAUACCUGCUCACUGACAGAAUAAAGGUACCUUUUAACUUA